Long non-coding RNA from Metopolophium dirhodum (rose-grain aphid), 936 nucleotides. RefSeq lists it as uncharacterized. Lineage: Eukaryota; Metazoa; Arthropoda; Insecta; Hemiptera; Aphididae. The record is from RefSeq and is a predicted model, not a curated record. The transcript is spliced from 3 exons.
UAUUAUAAUAAUAUAUUAUUUAUGUUUGAAUUCAUUAGAACAAUGGCGUAUCAGACGUCGCUCCCAAACCGGUCGACAUCCAUCUGCAUAACUCAUUCCGCAAGAAUGAGCGGUAUAGUUUGAAAACUUACCAAAGUUAUCUGGUGGAUGUCGAUACGUUGGUGAGCAGCCGUCGCACAUAGGUCUGAUGUACCUAUGGAAAGUUAUUAUUGGAUCGGUCACAAUAUUACGUUGAGAAGUUAUCUGUCCAUAAACUUAUUUUCAGAUUUGUAGGCCAAUUUCGUUGCCAUUUUUUAAUCAUUCUUUGUUUUUAUUAAGGUUGAGGUGUAACAGCAUUUUAGGGGCUAUUGUAAUUCCCACUUCCAGGACUUUAUCAUACAUACAGCCGACAGCCCGAUGACCUACAUUUUUGUGUAUUCUGGUCUACCCUAUGAUGGCCGCGAAGUAACGAUCACGUCACCGUUUAUCACAUUGCCCAGUUUGAAAGAGUCUCCAACAAUUUCAUCGGAUAGGUACGCCAUAAACCGUGACAUAGCGCUGGGCCAGAAUCAUUUUGUACGGAUCAAUAUCUACAGAAAUGACGUCCCAAUUAUUAGAAGCUAAUAAUAUAGUGUCUUUGUCGAACAGUCAGCUGUACGAAGUUUCCGCUGUGCCACAAAACGGGUCGACGCCGGUCGCUGAACAUGGGAAGUCCUCAAGUCCACCCAGCGUCGUAUUGAUGAAUCAACAAUACAUCUUACAUCUUACAUCUAUCAUUGCAAUCUUAUAAUUAUUCACCUGAAUGCAUGUAAUCCUGAAUGUACAGUUAAUUUAUUACUACCCAUCUACAAAGUCAACACUGUAUUAAUAAAAGUAUUUAUUGUUAAAAUAUAAUUGAGUUCUAUAUUAUUUGUAGGUACUUAAAAAUUAUUUGGGUAUAAAGGAAACAUAUUUUAA